Molecule: ribosomal RNA, 468 nt
Filed under: uncultured bacterium
Lineage: Bacteria
Description: partial 16S ribosomal RNA
Rfam family: Bacterial small subunit ribosomal RNA
Source: RNAcentral
GACGAACGCUGGCGGCGUGCUUAACACAUGCAAGUCGAACGGAAAGGCCCUGCUUUUGUGGGGUGCUCGAGUGGCGGACGGGUGAGUAACACGUGAGUAACCUGCCCUUGACUUUGGGAUAACUUCAGGAAACUGGGGCUAAUACCGGAUAGGAGCUCCUGCUGCAUGGUGGGGGUUGGAAAGUUUCGGCGGUUGGGGAUGGACUCGCGGCUUAUCAGCUUGUUGGUGGGGUAGUGGCUUACCAAGGCUUUGACGGGUAGCCGGCCUGAGAGGGUGACCGGCCACAUUGGGACUGAGAUACGGCCCAGACGCCUACGGGAGGCAGCAGUGGGGAAUAUGGCACAAUGGGCGGAAGCCUGAUGCAGCAACGCCGCGUGCGGGAUGACGGCCUUCGGGUUGUAAACCGCUUUCGCCUGUGACGAAGCGUGAGUGACGGUAAUGGGUAAAGAAGCACCGGCUAACUACGUG